Gambusia affinis (western mosquitofish) is the source of this 1175-nucleotide non-coding RNA. NCBI's taxonomy places the organism in Eukaryota, Metazoa, Chordata, Actinopteri, Cyprinodontiformes, Poeciliidae. The record is from the annotation of a RefSeq genome assembly.
AGUAAUAAAAGAGUAACAGGUAACAGAACAGUUAAAUAAUUGUGAUUAAUUCACAAACAUCCUGAGGCCCCAACCAGAUUUUUUUUAAAAUAAUUUGACAGCCCUAACAAUUACGUUUGCUGUUUUAUUUGUAUUAAUAUUUGUGUGGUCGUUUUUACUCUGAACAUUUUGUUCCGAUACACUGAGCAGCCUUCCUCGGUUCUGCUCAGCCAUUCAGAUCCACUAGAGGGCAGCGUUACCAGGUUCUGAGCUCUGCUGUGGUUCUGUGUUCAAGCACUCGUCACUCCACAGACCAAGUCCCAUCAGGUGUUCUUGUCUCCCCGGCAGAACAAAUGAGAAACAUUUAUCCUGUUGUUGAACAGCUGCAGCGUUCCCUCCAGAUCCUGUUCUGAAUCAUUCCGACUGGUUCUAGCAGUUUGGAGUUUGGACUGGUUUUAAUGGGACGGCCCGUCACCAGGCUCAAUGAGGGGAGGAGCUCAACUCUGAGAGACUUUGUGUUGGAGCUGAAGAGCUGCUGCAUUCUCUCUGUUCUUCUGUCAGUACCAGGGAAAACGAUGCUGCUGCUGCUUUUCUCCUGCAUGAUGAUGAUCUUCUGCCUUCAGCCAGGAUCCUCUGAGGAUUUACUGACACCAUUUAAAGAUGAUCAACUGGAUUUGGAAGGAAACAACGUGACUCUGUCCUGCAACUAUUCAGGAACAGUAAACCUGCUGCUGUGGUACCGACAGACGUCCAGUUCAUCUCCACAGCUGGUCACCUCAGGAUAUUCAGACACAACAGGAAGGCUUUCUUUGAGACACGAGAAAACAAAAACGACGUUUCAUCUGCUGAUCUCCUCUGCUGCAGUGACAGACUCUGCUGUGUACUACUGCGCUCUGCAGCCCACAGUGACAGGAAACACCAGAACCCUGUACAAGAACCUGCAGUACUCCACAGCAGCCACUAGAGGGCCUCACUCACUGCUCUGCUUCUAUGGUUUGUUAGGUUUCAGUCUGAUUGUUUAUGAGACAAUAAAAAACUGAACAGAGAGAGAAAACAAUCCCUCUGAUAAGUCGGUCUAGUUGGAGGACAUUUGCAUAACUAUUUCUAUGAAAUAUUUUCAUUAUUGAUCACUGGAUCAGCUCCAUAUUUUAUAAUCAGCAGUGUUUUAUUAAUUGCAAGAUGCUAUAAAGUUGCUG